CCUNAGUAGUAUAAAAUUACAUUGGUCUUGUAAACCAAUAACGGGGUAUCYCCCUNAGACA
RNAcentral lists this transfer RNA (61 nucleotides) under Brotomys voratus (Hispaniolan edible rat). RNAcentral's name for it is "partial tRNA-Thr". Lineage: Eukaryota; Metazoa; Chordata; Mammalia; Rodentia; Echimyidae. The record is from RNAcentral.